CUUCCUUAAGCAAACACGGAUCUGUGCUUUGCGAUCCUCUGCCCUUUCGGGGGUCAGGGUCGAUUGCUCUGCAGCUCGAUAACUUAUAAGGAGCCAUCAACUUGUUAUGGUGUCAAUUUUCCUAUCGACAGGUCCAAGAGUAACAGUUGCCUUAGCCGCUUUAUUCGUUGCUCCUCGGAGCAGCUUGAGUACUGGGGCUUUUGCAACGAGACGCUAUAUUCCACCCCCCUUUUCCGAGACCGUUGGUUAGUGAGGUUGGGGAAAACCAUGGCCUACCUACAUAU
Molecule: small RNA, 284 nt
Organism: Fusarium graminearum
Lineage: Eukaryota; Fungi; Ascomycota; Sordariomycetes; Hypocreales; Nectriaceae
Rfam family: A. fumigatus sRNA Afu_309
Source: Rfam